Molecule: ribosomal RNA, 434 nt
Filed under: uncultured bacterium
Lineage: Bacteria
Description: partial 16S ribosomal RNA
Rfam family: Bacterial small subunit ribosomal RNA
Source: RNAcentral
GAACGAACGCUGGCGGCAUGCCUACCCCAUGCAAGUCGAACGAGACCUUCGGGUCUAGUGGCGCACGGGUGCGUAACGCGUGGGAACCUGCCCUUAGGUUCGGAAUAACUCCCCGAAAGGGGUGCUAAUACCGGAUAAUGUCUUCGGACCAAAGAUUUAUCGCCUUUGGAUGGGCCCGCGUUGGAUUAGCUAGUUGGUAGGGUAAAAGCCUACCAAGGCGACGAGCCAUAGCUGGUCUGAGAGGAUGAUCAGCCACACUGGGACUGAGACACGGCCCAGACUCCUACGGGAGGCAGCAGUGGGGAAUAUUGGACAAUGGGCGAAAGCCUGAUCCAGCAAUGCCGCGUGAGUGAUGAAGGCCUUAGGGUUGUAAAGCUCUUUUACCCGGGAUGAUAAUGACAGUACCGGGAGAAUAAGCUCCGGCUAACUCCGUG